CCUACGGGCGGCUGCAGUGUGGAAUAUUGGGCAAUGGGCGCAAGCCUGACCCAGCAACGCCGCGUGAAGGAAGAAGGCUUUCGGGUUGUAAACUUCUUUUCUCAGGGACGAAGAAAGUGACGGUACCUGAGAAAUAAGUCACGGCUAACUUCGUGCCAGCAGCCGCGGUACUACGUAGGUGGCAAGCGUUAUCCGGAUUUACUGGGUGUAAAGGGCGUGUAGGCGGGACUGCAAGUCAGAUGUGAAAACCACGGGCUCAACCUGUGACCUGCAUUUGAAACUGGAGUUCUUGAGUGCUGGAGAGGAAGACGGAAUUCCAGGUGGAGCGGUGAAAUGCGUAGAUAUUAGGAGGAACACCAGUGGCGAAGGCGGUCUGCUGGACAGCAACUGACGCUGAGGAGCGAAAGCGUGGGGAGCAAACAGGAUUAGAUACCCGGGUAGUC
RNAcentral lists this ribosomal RNA (443 nucleotides) under uncultured bacterium. Its description in RNAcentral is "partial 16S ribosomal RNA". It matches the Rfam family "Bacterial small subunit ribosomal RNA", at positions 338 to 795 of the family's 1533-position model. The record is from RNAcentral.